Molecule: ribosomal RNA, 494 nt
Filed under: bacterium Urfcr40
Lineage: Bacteria
Description: bacterial SSU rRNA
Rfam family: Bacterial small subunit ribosomal RNA
Source: RNAcentral
UUGGGUGCUUGCAUCUGGGUGGAUGAGUGGCGAACGGGUGAGUAAUACGUGAGUAACCUGCCCUUGACUCUGGGAUAAGCCUGGGAAACUGGGUCUAAUACUGGAUACUACAUUCUCUCGCAAGGGGGUGUGUGGAAAGGGUUUUACUGGUUUUGGAUGGGCUCACGGCCUAUCACCUUGUUGGUGGGGUAAUGGCCUACCAAGGCGACGACGGGUAGCCGGCCUGAGAGGGUGACCGGCCACACUGGGACUGAUACACGGCCCAGACUCCUACGGGAGGCAGCAGUGGGGAAUAUUGCACAAUGGGCGAAAGCCUGAUGCAGCGACGCCGCGUGAGGGAUGACGGCCUUCGGGUUGUAAACCUCUUUCAGCACGGAAGAAGCGAAAGUGACGGUACGUGCAGAAGAAGCGCCGGCUAACUACGUGCCAGCAGCCGCGGUAAUACGUAUGGCGCACGCGUUGUCCGGAAUUAUUGGGCGUAAAGAGCUCGUAGG